GGGUCAGUAGCUCUAAUUGGUAGAGCGUGGGACUCCAAAUCCUAAGGUUGCAGGUUCGAGCCCUGCCUGGCCCGCCA
RNAcentral lists this transfer RNA (77 nucleotides) under Pseudomonadota bacterium. RNAcentral describes it as "Proteobacteria bacterium (wastewater metagenome) tRNA-Trp". It matches the Rfam family "tRNA". Rfam says of the family: Transfer RNA (tRNA) molecules are approximately 80 nucleotides in length. Lineage: Bacteria; Pseudomonadati; Pseudomonadota. The record is from RNAcentral.